RNAcentral lists this non-coding RNA (143 nucleotides) under Rahnella variigena. RNAcentral describes it as "Molybdenum/Tungsten riboswitch aptamer (Moco RNA motif)". It matches the Rfam family "Molybdenum/Tungsten riboswitch aptamer (Moco RNA motif)", at positions 7 to 125 of the family's 135-position model. Lineage: Bacteria; Pseudomonadati; Pseudomonadota; Gammaproteobacteria; Enterobacterales; Yersiniaceae. The record is from RNAcentral.
AAUCAACUCCUAGCCCUGGUUCCUAAGUUGCCUUUCUGACGUCGUUCCCACAGAAACAAUAUGGAGCCCUGGCCGUGACGAAAGUCACCAGGGUGUAUGGCAGAAAUGCCCGCAUCUCCCGUAUCUGGAAAGGUGUUAAGGUG